GAUGAACGCUGACAGAAUGCUUAACACAUGCAAGUCUUUGGCGAAGCUGUGCUUGCACCGCCUAGCCAAGGCGGACGGGUGAGUAACGCGUAAGGAACUUGCCCUGCAGUCAGGGAUAACAGACGGAAACGACUGAUAAGACCUGGUAAAGUCAGGCGGACUCAUGUCCAGCCUGAUGAAAAGAGAUGCUGCAGGAGAGCCUUGCGUCCUAUUAGCUUGUUGGUGGGGUAACGGCCCACCAAGGCGAUGAUAGGUAGCCGGCCUGAGAGGGUGGACGGCCAAAAGGGGAAUGAGAUGCGGCACUUACGCCUCCGGGAGGCAGCAGUGGGGAAUAUUGGACCAUGGGGGCAACACUGAUCUAGCAAUUCUGUGUGCACGAUGAAGGUUUUCGGAGUGUAAAGUGCUUUCAGCAGGGAAGAAAAAAAUGACGGUACCUGCAGAAGAAGCGACGGCUAAAUACGUG
Molecule: ribosomal RNA, 463 nt
Filed under: uncultured bacterium
Lineage: Bacteria
Description: partial 16S ribosomal RNA
Rfam family: Bacterial small subunit ribosomal RNA
Source: RNAcentral